Onthophagus taurus is the source of this 296-nucleotide non-coding RNA. The record is from RefSeq and is a predicted model, not a curated record. NCBI's taxonomy places the organism in Eukaryota, Metazoa, Arthropoda, Insecta, Coleoptera, Scarabaeidae.
AUAUGGUUAUUAUGGCACAGCCCCUAAUAAGUAAUACCGAUUUCCAAAGAAGAAAACAACUUUAACUAAAACUGUACCAUAUUUAAAUUUCAUGAUUUAUAGUUAACUACAGAGUAAUUUAAUUAGCAUACAUAACUAAUUUGGUGUUACAUAAUGCAUCAAGUCCCUGAUGUAACUGUAACGAUUUGAUAAAUGGAAAUUAUAGAUUUGCUUUGUUUUCGAGUCCUCUAAAUUUACGUUCUAUAAACUUAUCCCAGAUUUAAACUUUAAAGUUAAAUAUAAUCUUUAUAGCUUGA